This is a long non-coding RNA of Eucalyptus grandis, 1451 nucleotides long. RefSeq lists it as uncharacterized. The record is from RefSeq and is a predicted model, not a curated record. NCBI's taxonomy places the organism in Eukaryota, Viridiplantae, Streptophyta, Magnoliopsida, Myrtales, Myrtaceae. The transcript is spliced from 3 exons.
CAAACCAGCAGUAGAAGACUCCGAUAUAGAAAGCAUGGUUUUCAAUUAUCUGAGCCCCGAUUCCUCUGAGAAUGGUGAUGCUUCCUCUCAGUUUUCCCUGCCUUCUUCUUCAUCGUCCACCGUCUUUGUGCCGGCCUUUGUGCUGGCCGGUGGGAUCUCCCCGGAGGUCUCCCAGUCGCAGGCAGAGUCACUGAGGACGCUUCUCUUGAGUUCCCUGCCCCUCCCGUUGAUGCUUCUUGUUGGAGUCCGAAGGAUUCCUCAGACGCCUUACAUCUCCAAUCACAUCGGCCUCAGCCUUCGUCCUCCUCAAACGCGAUGAACAGAAGUCCGUCGGUAGGCACAUCUACUAUUGCUGGCGCGGAUGAUCGAAGCCGAUUGGAAAUCGUCACUAAUGCCAUUUCACAGCCUUCAUCACUUGAAGCUCCUAUUCCUUCAUCGGAACAAGGUCAAGCAACUGGUUCAAGAUCUUCUCCAGCAAAUCAAAAUGACAAUGUCGAUGAGCCUGCUAACGUUGAUGCCCAAAAAUCUCGAGCGGUAGCCACUCCUGUUAAUCCAGUUCUGCCGUCCCCUGGACAUUCACCAUUACCUUCUUUGAUGUUGCAACGAAUCAGCCAAACCGAUGGUGAAAAAAUACUUGGCUCCUUCGUUAAUGCUGGGCCUACCCUGGAGAGGUCUGCGAAAGCCUUAUACUUUUUUAUAUGUUAUUUUUUUUAAAUUUUAUUUUUUUAAAUUUUAGGUCUGUGAAAGUCUUACGUUCUAAAGCUGUUAGUUUUGACACUGCCCCACCCGAGUCUUCAUCGAUACUUGUCGUUACCGACGACGUGGUCAAGCACAAAUGGGCUGAGUUUCUUGAACUGUCCAAGGGUGGAUAUCCGUUAAUUGCAGCCAAUCCCGCCACCACUGAAAGGUUUAAAGCCUUAUUGGGGGAAUUAUGUGGUGGUGAUAUCCGAUUCUCGAAGUCCCCUGAAUUCAGAAAACGUUGCGAAGACUUUCUGACUAAAUUUCCUGGUGGAAUAGAUACUUAUCGACAGAACCGCGAAAGGAUCGCUGCCUUGGCAGACUUGGAGAAAGACUAUCAACAUUCUGACGAUUUUAUCGAGAGAUUUGACCAAACUUUGAAAGAUAGUCGGCAUACCCUAGAAGUGUUGGUCGAUGAACAGAAUGACCUUGCUGCUGAGGAAACCAAGUUGGAGAGACAACUGGAUGCGUUAGAGAGACAACUGAUCGACGUCCGACACCGACGCAGACUCAAGGCUGCCCAGAUAAUUCAGGCAGUCAGAACUCUGGAAAGUCAUCUUGAUAUUUUUGACGAGCAGUAUCGACUAAACAAAGAGUUGGCCGAACAUCGACGUGCUAAGAACCAGUUAGUGUUUGAUAAUAGUUGCUUAGAGCUAGACAUGACGAUUUUCCAAAAGGAAGUGAGAGAUUUUGUAGACAACAUGUAACCUUAG